GUUGCGAUGGCCGAGUGGUUAAGGCGUUUGACUCGAAAUCCAAUGGGUUUUUCCCGCGCAGGUUCGAACCCUGCUCGCAACG
RNAcentral lists this transfer RNA (82 nucleotides) under Actinia tenebrosa (Australian red waratah sea anemone). RNAcentral's name for it is "tRNA-Ser". It matches the Rfam family "tRNA". From Rfam's summary of the family: Transfer RNA (tRNA) molecules are approximately 80 nucleotides in length. Their secondary structure includes four short double-helical elements and three loops (D, anti-codon, and T loops). The record is from Rfam by way of RNAcentral. Lineage: Eukaryota; Metazoa; Cnidaria; Anthozoa; Actiniaria; Actiniidae.